RNAcentral lists this ribosomal RNA (253 nucleotides) under uncultured bacterium. Its description in RNAcentral is "partial 16S ribosomal RNA". It matches the Rfam family "Bacterial small subunit ribosomal RNA", at positions 524 to 776 of the family's 1533-position model. The record is from RNAcentral.
UACGAAGGGGGCUAGCGUUGUUCGGAAUCACUGGGCGUAAAGCGCACGUAGGCGGAUUUUUAAGUCAGGGGUGAAAUCCCGAGGCUCAACCUCGGAACUGCCUUUGAUACUGGGGAUCUGGAGUCCGGGAGAGGUGAGCGGAACUGCGAGUGUAGAGGUGAAAUUCGUAGAUAUUCGCAAGAACACCAGUGGCGAAGGCGGCUCACUGGCCCGAUACUGACGCUGAGGCACGAAAGCGUGGGGAGCAAACAGG